AAACCAACCCAGCCCAGCCCCAAGGCGGGGGUCCUUUGUCCCUAGUCUCUCCCAACCAGGGUGCGCCGGGCCCUCCCCUCAUGCUCUAGCCUCUCCCACUCUACACACUCUCCCUGGGCCCUGAGUCUCUGUCUGGCCACUGUCCUCUCUCUGUCCCGCCUACAUGACAGCCUUGGGGAGGGAGUGGUCCGUACCUGUCCCUCUUCCCCUACUGGCCGUGCACCCUCCUCUGCCAGCUCCAUUCUGGCUUGUGACCACACUGCCCACCAAGUCACCAGACUCCAAGGACACAGCUCAGCUUUCCCCUGAGCUUGACUCUGAGAUGUGAAUGACCAAAACCAAGUCCACAGUGGCUGCCGGGCACACGCUGCUGCGGAGAGGAGUGGGAGGAGAGACGCCAUCCGCCAUCUGCCAUCCGCAGCUAGCCCGGGCGGCAGCUGCUGCUGCGCAUGCUCGGGGCCUGGGAGCCAGACCGGGUGACCACCUGAACCUGAACACUGAGGGCUUGCCAGGUCCUGCCCCUCAAAUUAUGAAUGAGAACUACAAGGGUCUCCCUGGGUGCCCAGAGCUGCAAUGCAGUUCUCGCCCCUGGCUGUACAUUUGAGUCCCCUAGAAGGCUCCACCCCAGACGUCCGGCCCUUGGCAUUUCUGUACUCCUGGGGCAGCACCAAGGGCCUACAGCUCAGACCCUCUGAGGGGUCUGCAGGGACAGAAAGGAGCUCACAGGAAGAGGCGAGGCCGGCGAAGACCUGGAGGAACGCCAUCUCACUCCUGCCCUUCCUGGGACUGGGCGAGUGUGUGAGGCCCGCACACUUCCAAUCAGUACCCCUUCUGCCAAAACACUUCUGAGUUUGAAUCCUGUCACACAAGCCAAGAGGCCAACACACAGAAUCUGGGACCUGAAAACCGGGCAUCGCACUGAGGGUUCCUGCUCUGCAGCCCUGGCCGAGCCCAGACGGGCCUUGCUUCUACCCCAGGUGACCCAUGAGGUCACGGCAAAGUCCUUGCCUGGAAUGACUGGAGACUAGGCAUGGCAGAUAAGGAGACUGAAUAAGCAAGAAAAAGAAGCUGAAAGUAACGGGAAGCGGGCUUCUCACUGCCAGAGACUAGACUUACGAAGAUGAGAAGCAUCACAACCAGAAUAAGCCCUGUGGUACUGGAGCGGAUGGGAGGUCACAUGGACUUGCUGGAAGGAGAGAGAAAGAGAC
This is a long non-coding RNA of Tupaia belangeri chinensis (Chinese tree shrew), 1208 nucleotides long. RefSeq lists it as uncharacterized. NCBI's taxonomy places the organism in Eukaryota, Metazoa, Chordata, Mammalia, Scandentia, Tupaiidae. The record is from RefSeq and is a predicted model, not a curated record. The transcript is spliced from 3 exons.